This 484-nucleotide ribosomal RNA is filed under the name uncultured bacterium. RNAcentral's name for it is "partial 16S ribosomal RNA". It matches the Rfam family "Bacterial small subunit ribosomal RNA", at positions 30 to 507 of the family's 1533-position model. The record is from RNAcentral.
AGUGAACGCUGGCGGCAGGCCUAACACAUGCAAGUCGAGCGGCAGCGGGUCCUUCGGGAUGCCGGCGAGCGGCGGACGGGUGAGGAAUACAUCGGAAUCUGCCCUGUCGUGGGGGAUAACCUAGGGAAACUUAGGCUAAUACCGCAUACGACCUACGGGUGAAAGCGGGGGAUCGCAAGACCUCGCGCGACAGGAUGAGCCGAUGUCCGAUUAGCUAGUUGGCGGGGUAAAGGCCCACCAAGGCGACGAUCGGUAGCUGGUCUGAGAGGAUGAUCAGCCACACUGGGACUGAGACACGGCCCAGACUCCUACGGGAGGCAGCAGUGGGGAAUAUUGGACAAUGGGCGUAAGCCUGAUCCAGCCAUGCCGCGUGGGUGAAGAAGGCCUUCGGGUUGUAAAGCCCUUUUGUCCGGGAAGAAAUCGUCUGGGCUAAUACCCCGGGCGGAUGACGGUACCGGAAGAAUAAGCACCGGCUAACUUCGUG